Long non-coding RNA from Acanthopagrus latus (yellowfin seabream), 541 nucleotides. RefSeq lists it as uncharacterized. The transcript has 3 exons. The record is from RefSeq and is a predicted model, not a curated record. NCBI's taxonomy places the organism in Eukaryota, Metazoa, Chordata, Actinopteri, Spariformes, Sparidae.
CCAUGCUGAAGGUAGCUCUUGUUCUUGGAUGCCUCCUGAGCCUCGCUCUGGCUCAGCCUAUGGAGGGAGCACACAAACGAGUUGCUCGCUCAAGCUCUGGCUCUAACUCUGGCUCUAACUCUGGCGAGACUACAACUAAAGCUGCAACAACUACCACUGCAGCUGCAACAACUACAACUGCAGCAACUUCAACUCUAAGUGCACAACAGCAACUGAUAGUCCAGCUCCUUCGAGCCCUUGGGCUGUUGUGAACUACAACUGAAGCAAGAGCUACAUCUACCACUGCAUCAGCCCCUACGACCACUACUAUAAAAUAAAAAUCUAAAAAGUAUCCAGUGAAUGACGACCACUUUAUAAUGAUGUCUAUUGGUAACAUCAGCUUUGAGUCAGUGUCAUUUCACUUGCCUCUUUCUCUUUCCUGAUUUCAACGACGUUGUUUUAACCAGUGUUCUAUUACUCAGCGUUCUAGUUCACAUUAACAUGAUGAUCAAAAUCACUGUAUUCUCUGCUCUAUCUGCUUAAUAAACUUCAUCACUGCAAA